CUUUCUCCGCCGGCGACCGGCGCACGGGUGAGUAACACGUAUGCAACCUGCCCCUGUCAGGGGGACAACCCGCCGAAAGGCGGGCUAAACCCGCGUACAUGCCACCGGGGCAUCCCGGAGGCAGGAAAGGCUUCGGCCGGACAGGGAUGGGCAUGCGGCGCAUUAGGCAGUAGGCGGGUAACGGCCCACCUAACCGACGAUGCGUAGGGGUUCUGAGAGGAAGGUCCCCCACACUGGUACUGAGACACGGACCAGACUCCUACGGAAGGCAGCAG
Molecule: ribosomal RNA, 275 nt
Filed under: uncultured bacterium
Lineage: Bacteria
Description: partial 16S ribosomal RNA
Rfam family: Bacterial small subunit ribosomal RNA
Source: RNAcentral